RNAcentral lists this ribosomal RNA (253 nucleotides) under uncultured bacterium. RNAcentral describes it as "partial 16S ribosomal RNA". It matches the Rfam family "Bacterial small subunit ribosomal RNA", at positions 524 to 776 of the family's 1533-position model. The record is from RNAcentral.
UACAGAGGUCCCAAGCGUUGUUCGGAUUCACUGGGCGUAAAGGGUGCGUAGGUGGUGAGGUAAGUUUGAUGUGAAAUCUCCGGGCUUAACCCGGAAAUGGCAUUGAAUACUAUCUCGCUAGAGAGUCGGAGGGGGGACUGGAAUACUUGGUGUAGCAGUGAAAUGCGUAGAUAUCAAGUGGAACACCAGUGGCGAAGGCGAGUCCCUGGACGACUUCUGACACUGAGGCACGAAAGCUAGGGGAGCAAACAGG